Molecule: long non-coding RNA, 930 nt
Filed under: Citrus x clementina
Lineage: Eukaryota; Viridiplantae; Streptophyta; Magnoliopsida; Sapindales; Rutaceae
Description: Citrus clementina (C. clementina) long non-coding RNA (CCLE_LNC002573)
Source: RNAcentral
AGAGAGCAGAUAGAACUAGAUGUCUCUUUAAGAGAACGUGUAAAUCUGAAAGGCUUACCACACUACUCUAGAGAGGAAUAAAUAUUAUGCAUUUAGGUACGCGUCCGCGUUAUUUUGUUAUUAAUUCUUUGUGGUACAAUAUGAAUAUUUUUGAAUUUAUUGGUGAUGAUUUUCACUAAAAAUUUUCUUAUCCCAAUAAAUAAUAUUAGUCUCUUCAUGUUAAAUUAUUGAGAAUCAAAUUUAUUUUAAUUAAUGUUUACAUCUCUAGUGUACUUAAAUUUAAUAAUAUCAUAAUUAUUAAAAUUAUUACAUUUGAGAACAAAACUGUGGUUAUUUGUCGGAAUUUAGAAUAUUUUGGAAAUUCAUAUUUCAGUCAAAAAAAAAUUCCUAAUUUGAAGUUUUGUGGCCGGCGGCAAUAGCAGCCGCCGGCGAGACACAGCUGCUGGGCGGCGCCAGCCCGCAACCGCGGCCACGACGCCACGGCAAAUUAAGGAGAAGCAAAAAAAAAAGGGGCUGGCCGUCGCCAGCUUACGGCUGUGUCGGCAUGCAUGCCGCUGCAACCAGCCCGCGCUGGAGAGAAAGAAAGGUGGCUGAAUGGCCACUGCAGAGGAAGAAGCGGCGGCACGCCAGCCGCACGAAAGAGAAAAGAUAGAAGUAGGGUUUCAAGGUAAAUAUCUAAAUGUUCCCUAAGGUGUUGUAAAAUUUCUUUCCAGCAGACAAUAAAGAAAGUUUUUAUUUAAACCCAAAUUCUGCUUGGACUUAAUUAAAGUUGAGUUUUGGGCCCAAUAAAUUGGGCUUGAUAGGUUGAAGGGGUUGGUUUAGAGUGGAGCUAUUGGCACCCCUACAUUAUUCUUACAAAACUCCACUUUAAAUAAAAUUACAAUUAAGAAUAAUUGAAAGUUAAACACAUAUAGUCUUUUUUUUCAAGCA